Roseisalinus antarcticus is the source of this 56-nucleotide regulatory RNA element. It matches the Rfam family "sul1 RNA". Lineage: Bacteria; Pseudomonadati; Pseudomonadota; Alphaproteobacteria; Rhodobacterales; Roseobacteraceae. The record is from Rfam.
CUUGGACCCGGUGAAAGACCGGGUGGCUCUUCCGGCCGCUGAUCCGCCGGACAACG